Molecule: ribosomal RNA, 427 nt
Filed under: uncultured bacterium
Lineage: Bacteria
Description: partial 16S ribosomal RNA
Rfam family: Bacterial small subunit ribosomal RNA
Source: RNAcentral
UGGGGAAUAUUGGACAAUGGGCGAAAGCCUGAUCCAGCCAUGCCGCGUGUGUGAAGAAGGUCUUCGGAUUGUAAAGCACUUUAAGUUGGGAGGAAGGGCAUUAACCUAAUACGUUAGUGUUUUGACGUUACCGACAGAAUAAGCACCGGCUAACUCUGUGCCAGCAGCCGCGGUAAUACAGAGGGUGCAAGCGUUAACCGGAAUUACUGGGCGUAAAGCGCGCGUAGGUGGUUUGUUAAGUUGGAUGUGAAAGCCCCGGGCUCAACCUGGGAACUGCAUCCAAAACUGGCAAGCUAGAGUACGGUAGAGGGUGGUGGAAUUUCCUGUGUAGCGGUGAAAUGCGUAGAUAUAGGAAGGAACACCAGUGGCGAAGGCGACCACCUGGACUGAUACUGACACUGAGGUGCGAAAGCGUGGGGAGCAAACA